UAAUAAAUAUAUGCCGAUUUAAUAAUAUAUUUAAUAAAUAUAUGCAAAACAUAUACAAAAUUAAAUUUUCAUUAAAGAGCGCGUCUAAUUUGAAAGUUAAAAAAGAAGGAGCUUAUUAAUUACGUUUCAAAGAGUUAAGUGUUAAACGUUACACAACUUCAUAAUUAGGCCUCCAAUGAGUAGCCAACUUAUUCAUCAAAAAAUCCUUCUGUACUAUUGAUACACUUAUGUCUUUUACAUUUUGUAUAGAUAAUUAUAUUUCAGAUGUUACGUUAUCACAAAACUUAAAUGGAGAAAUGGGUGAUCAGAUUAAGAUAACUAUGAAGUCAGAUAUCAAUAACUGUGCAAAUAUUCUAGAGAGAAGAAAAAGAUUAUUAUCUUAUGUUAUGUAGCAGAGUAAUUCCACGUUUUACAAUUAAAAUACACGAAACAUAAAAAUUAAAUACUAUACAAAUCGAAAAAGUUCAAGUAUUUAAGCAUACUUCCAUUCGGGUACAAGAAAAUGGUAAAAGUAUAGUUUCCUAUAUGUAAUGGAAGAUUGCUGUGUCAAAUUACUAUAAUAUAUAUACUUAUAUCGAGACUUAAACUUUGGUUUGAUUAAAUAUAACAUAAUAACUGACGAUUUAGAAUAAUACGGACUUUAUAUAUUAUAUAUAUAUAUAUAUAAAAGAAAACAGAAAAGUUAUAACAUUAAACCGAUCUAUUUUAUCAA
Long non-coding RNA from Wasmannia auropunctata (little fire ant), 712 nucleotides. RefSeq lists it as uncharacterized. The record is from RefSeq and is a predicted model, not a curated record. The transcript has 2 exons. Lineage: Eukaryota; Metazoa; Arthropoda; Insecta; Hymenoptera; Formicidae.